Molecule: ribosomal RNA, 253 nt
Filed under: uncultured bacterium
Lineage: Bacteria
Description: partial 16S ribosomal RNA
Rfam family: Bacterial small subunit ribosomal RNA
Source: RNAcentral
AACGUAGGACGCAAGCGUUGUUCGGAAUCACUGGGCGUAAAGGGUGCGUAGGCGGUUUGGUAAGUCAGAUGUGAAAUCCCGGGGCUCAACCCCGGAACUGCAUCCGAUACUGCCAGACUUGAGGACUGGAGAGGUGACUGGAAUUCUCGGUGUAGCAGUGAAAUGCGUGGAUAUCGAGAGGAACACUCGUGGCGUAAGCGAGUCACUGGACAGUAUCUGACGCUGAGGCACGAAGGCCAGGGUAGCGAAAGGG